This 808-nucleotide ribosomal RNA is filed under the name Niphargus karkabounasi. RNAcentral describes it as "partial 28S ribosomal RNA". The record is from RNAcentral. Lineage: Eukaryota; Metazoa; Arthropoda; Malacostraca; Amphipoda; Niphargidae.
AAAGACCGUGAAACCGCUCAGAGUAUAAGCCAAUGGAGCUUGGAAGGCUUCCGCAGUCUCGGGCAUCACACGUGGUGUUUCGGAAGGCAUGUAGCACGGUUCGUCAGGCGGAGCAUUGAGUUUGCCGACCAGCUGACGUACGGGGAUUCGGUUUGGGGGUCUCAGGCUUCGGCCGAAGGGCUUCUGGCCGUUUCCUUGAGAAUGGGCGUUCAGAGCUACUGUGUCUAAUGCGGUUACGCCCACCACGGCACGUUGUGAGGUCACCCACAGGCUCAAACUGCCGAUCGCGCAUCCAGGACGAUGGCAACGAUGCGUCUCUUUUGCUUCAGCAUUCGGAGCAUCGACGCGUGUCUAGUCCUGGGUCGGGCGGCGACCGAGAUAAACCUGGUAUGAUCCUCUUGCGACGAGCUGCUUUCUGGCCAGACCGACGUCCGGGCGCUUCCACUGUGCCGGAAGUGCCAAUCCCAGGCGGUAUGACCCAGCUGCAUUCUGCAAGGUCUCUCAGCCGGGCGUUGGUCUGAGUGGUGUUAAGUCCAGCACCAUCGGUCACGUCUCGAAACACGGGCCAAGGAGUAUAGCAUGUGUGCAAGUCUAAGGGUCUCACAAAACCCGAAGGCGAAGUGAAAGCAAGACUGUGGCGGGGGAGCUACGGCGAACCCGCCGGCCUAGUGGCACUCUCUGUGUUGCCUGGCUUUUAGCAGAGCUGAUCCUGUUUUCUCGGUUAAUUCUUGGUGCAGGCGCAAGCUCCGGGCUCACGUACAACACUGGUCACCUCGUGUGGCUGUGUUGUGAGCACCGUGGAGCAUGC